This is a non-coding RNA of Pelobates cultripes (western spadefoot toad), 237 nucleotides long. Lineage: Eukaryota; Metazoa; Chordata; Amphibia; Anura; Pelobatidae. The record is from the annotation of a GenBank genome assembly.
ACACACUAUGCAUUAUAUACGCACACACACUCAUACAAACACACACUCUGCAUUAUAUACGCACACACACUCAUACAAACACACACUCUGCAUUAUACACACACACACUCAUACAAACACACACUCUGCAUUAUACACACACACACUCAUACAAACACACACUCUGCAUUAUAUACGCACACACACUCAUACAAACACACACUCAUACAAACAAUCUGCAUUCUACACACACACUCA